UUCAGUUUCUAUGAACAUUUGUUCUUUUGCAUCAGUCCAUAAUGUAAGAGUGCCUAGCUCAUCAGGUGAAAGAGAGUUUAGGUAUGUAAAAACGGUCCAUAAUGUAAGAGUAUCUAGCUCAUCAGGUGAAAGAGAAUUUAGGUAGGUAAAAACAGGGCCAAACACCUUUUUCCAGGGCUCUCCAUCGCUAAAUUUCAGUCCCAAACUCUCUCCAGCAUAAUGUGUACUAAAAAACAUCUGUUAAAUAAGUCAUCGCGAUUAAUUAGUACUCGAUU
This 275-nucleotide long non-coding RNA is filed under the name Nicotiana benthamiana. RNAcentral describes it as "long non-coding RNA (NBEN_LNC011275)". The record is from RNAcentral. Lineage: Eukaryota; Viridiplantae; Streptophyta; Magnoliopsida; Solanales; Solanaceae.